Molecule: ribosomal RNA, 253 nt
Filed under: uncultured bacterium
Lineage: Bacteria
Description: partial 16S ribosomal RNA
Rfam family: Bacterial small subunit ribosomal RNA
Source: RNAcentral
GACGGAGGGUGCAAGCGUUGUUCGGAAUCACUGGGCGUAAAGCGCGUGGAGGCGGUUUGUUAAGUCGAGUGUGAAAGCCCAAGGCUCAACCUUGGAAGUGCACUCGAAACUGUCAGGCUUGAGUGCGGGAGAGGGAAGUGGAAUUCCUGGUGUAGAGGUGAAAUUCGUAGAUAUCGGGAGGAACACCGGUGGCGAAGGCGGCUCCCUGGACCGAUACUGACGCUGAGACGCGAAAGCGUGGGGAGCAAACAGG